AUUGAACGCUGGCGGCAGGCCUAACACAUGCAAGUCGAGCGGAUGAAGGGAGCUUGCUCCUGGAUUCAGCGGCGGACGGGUGAGUAAUGCCUAGGAAUCUGCCUGGUAGUGGGGGAUAACGUCCGGAAACGGGCGCUAAUACCGCAUACGUCCUGAGGGAGAAAGUGGGGGAUCUUCGGACCUCACGCUAUCAGAUGAGCCUAGGUCGGAUUAGCUAGUUGGUGGGGUAAAGGCCUACCAAGGCGACGAUCCGUAACUGGUCUGAGAGGAUGAUCAGUCACACUGGAACUGAGACACAGUCCAGACUCCUACGGGAGGCAGCAGUGGGGAAUAUUGGACAAUGGGCGAAAGCCUGAUCCAGCCAUGCCGCGUGUGUGAAGAAGGUCUUCGGAUUGUAAAGCACUUUAAGUUGGGAGGAAGGGCAGUAAGCUAAUACCUUGCUGUUUUGACGUUACCAACAGAAUAAGCACCGGCUAACUUCGUG
RNAcentral lists this ribosomal RNA (484 nucleotides) under uncultured bacterium. Its description in RNAcentral is "partial 16S ribosomal RNA". It matches the Rfam family "Bacterial small subunit ribosomal RNA", at positions 30 to 507 of the family's 1533-position model. The record is from RNAcentral.